UGUUAACAUUAUCAUUAGUCUAACCUUAUAGUUAUAUAGGAGGCAUAACUUGCACAACAUCAAAGUAAUAACAUGUCACAAAUAAACACUCAAGCAUGGAAUCACGGCAUAAACUAAUGCAUCAAAUUAACUAACUUAAGCUAACCUAUUGCAACGACAAGAUAUUACCCCCUUAAACCAACCCACCUCAUGGACGAGUCGACAUCUCUAAAUUUGAUCCAAGAUGAUUCCCCUUACUGCCACAAAGCCAUCGCUCCUGACGGUGCAUUGUUUGGAGGUCAAACGGUCCAGUUAUACCUCGUUUACUUGUUUGCAACACGUUGAAACUCUCAGGGAUGAAACUGUCCUUUCACUGCCUAGCUGGAAAAUUCCAGAUUUAAUUCUCCAGGUCUAGUCAUCCGCAGAUUCAUCCCUAACAAACAGAGAGUUACGUUCUACUCACCUAACUUUCCAGGAAGAAUGUUUUAACCACUGACCCCCAAUUUUACGGAAAUUGCAAAAUAGUCACUAUUCAUAUCUUAAUAGCAAAAAGCUAUCUUCUCCAAUUGGUUCCCACGGUACAGAGAACAACGCCGGAAACUCCAUGAUUCGGAUCGCUCCAGGUUGCGCCUAUCGCCCUCGGUACCCGCCGCCAGUAGCCGCUGAUGGUUUCCGAUAUCAACCGGUGGCCUCUUCCUUCGUCCGGACUCCAAGAGCCUCCGCCAUAACUCCCGACACCGAGCUCCUUCUCGACGAACCUCCCUUUCAUGGUUGCCGCUUCCUGAUCGUUGCAUCUUCCCUUCCUUGUUCCGGUUCUUAAGAAGUUUCCGCUGAGUCCCAACUUCUCUCUUUGAUCCUUGAUUCAAUCGCCAGAGACCAUGUCGAUCUCCAGAUCUCCACGAUUAUGGUUCGUCGUCAACCUCUAUCUCCCACUCUGUCGCUUUAAUCAAUUUCUUCUGCCU
Molecule: long non-coding RNA, 941 nt
Filed under: Linum usitatissimum (flax)
Lineage: Eukaryota; Viridiplantae; Streptophyta; Magnoliopsida; Malpighiales; Linaceae
Description: long non-coding RNA (LUSI_LNC004448)
Source: RNAcentral